Long non-coding RNA from Chenopodium quinoa (quinoa), 2448 nucleotides. RefSeq lists it as uncharacterized. Lineage: Eukaryota; Viridiplantae; Streptophyta; Magnoliopsida; Caryophyllales; Amaranthaceae. The transcript has 2 exons. The record is from RefSeq and is a predicted model, not a curated record.
AGAGCAAGUGUCAACAGGCAGAACAAGUGUUAGUGGAUUAUUAAUACUCAGUAGAGCAAAGCUAAGCAAGGUUCAGUUGAGCAGAUCUGACCACAAGUUCACAACAGACCACAACAGCUCAAAAGAACAGUGUCAAAGUUACAACAUCAAAAUAAAUUUCCCGUAUUUUAAAUAUAUUUUUUCUUAUAUUAUAUAUUUAAUAUGUUUUUAAUAUAAUAUAUAAAAUGCAAGGGUACACUACACUUUAGUCUCCCCACAAUAGUACAGUCUUUGUUACUGUGUUUUCUCUUUUCUCUGUGUAUUCCUCCUUUUUCAACCCUUCUUCUCCCCACUUAAGAAAAAAAAAAAAAAAAAAAAAAAAACUUCUCUUUGCCGUAGCCAUGUCUUCCCCUUUUCAACCUUUAAACUUAAUAACGAAGAAGAAGAAGAAAGAAAUGAGUUGUUCUUGUAUUGAAGAAAUCAAAGAUUUUAUUUGGCAUUGUUUUUUGUUUUCAGUUUGCUUUUUUUAAAACCAAAAACCAAAAACAGGAAACAAGAAAAAGGUGUUUCCACUUUUUUUUUUGUCAGUUUUUUAAAUUAUAAGAAUUUUAAUAAGUUUGACUAAAUUUUUUAUUCAUUAUACGACAUAUAUCGUGUGAUUUUGAAAAUCAAAAAACCAAAAAAUAGAAAACCACGAUAAUGUCAAACAAACCCUUAGGUUUUUGAUUUAUGUCGGGAUCUUUCGGUUCAAAUUGAAAGAAAUGAUAAGGAUAUUAAGGAAUUGGAAUUCCUUGAGGCCCAUGACGAGCUGUUUGGUGAAGUUGUUUCAAGUGUGGUUCAUAUCAAUGUUAGAAAACUUCUGACAACGAGUUGUCCGAGUAAACGACAUCGGAAAUCCUACUCGGCAACGGGGUUUGCAAUUUCUUCCUGGACCUCACAAAACAAGGUAUGCUCUCUUAUUAUCACCGCCGCCGGAAACCCUCCGUUUGAUCCGUCAGACUCGGUGGAUAAAUUUAAUGCUGAAAAUGAGAUUCAAGUUAAAUUUUAUAAAGAAGAUGUUAUGCAUAAUUCUGUUGGAGUUUUGCAAUUCUAGUAAUGCAAAUCGGAGCUUUACCAAGUGAGUGUGCAAGGAGUUAACGAGGGAAAGGUGUAGCAAGCAAGUUGGUGAGCCGCGCGAGACCGAGCUAGCAAGAGAGCUAGAGCUCGGAUGCUCUCAAUGGCCUGCAGCAGGUCCGAGCGAGAGCUCGCCUAUGUGCUGCUGGAAAUGCCUUGCGGCAGACCCGAGCGAGGGAGCUAUAGCUCGCUGCUGGCAGAGCCUUGCGGCAGUCCGAGCGAUAGCUCGCCAGCGAGUGAGCGAUAGCUCGCAGCUCAUGAAGGCUACGGCAAGGCUGAGCGAUAACUCACUCGCUAGAGAGCGAUAGCUCGCCAGCCCAGCCGUGGUAUGGGCCUUGCGUGAGGCUUGUGCUUCUAUUUCCUUUUUCUUAUUACUCCUAUAAAUACUACUUCUUGGCUAUUAUUUCAAUCAUAGGUUAAUUUCAUUAUUGAAAUACCCUAAACACUCAAACACAAACCUACCCUUUGAGAUCUGAACAGUUCUCGAAUAAUUCCACUCUACGGGUUCGAGUGUACGAAUUACGAGAGUUGCGUUAAACUUGGGGGGUGUGCGUCACUGGGAAACUUGUACUGGUGGUGGCUUGUACUGGUGGUGGCGUAUUUCGCUUUUAAGGCAGUGAAUUUUGUUCCGCGGCGCAACUGUGAGUUUGAGAUCUUCAAUUCAGGAAAGUUUUAAUCUUUAUUUGUUAUUGAUUUCAAUAGUUAUUUUACCAACAAAUUCAUCUAUCAUUUCCACUGACAAUGAUGUUGUACUUGUAUAUCUUGAGGAAAUUUCUACUAAUAUUGUUAGAAUUCCGGUAAGAUUUAGUAAUGAAUCUGAUGUUCUAAGGGGUAUGGUGGUAUACUAUUUGGCAUGUUCUAGUGGCAAAUAUCAUUUAUGUGUUGAAGGUCGAGUUAGCCAUAUUGAAGGAAAGGAACUGUUUCACCAAGUUAGAGUUCCAAAUAUUAGCAUCGGUGGCCCGAUCUUCAACGCUGAUAGGGAGGUUCUUGCUGUGAUGAAGACUGGUGGUGAGGAAAUUACUUUGGAUUGAAAUCUGCUCUUACUGUAGAUGGUCUUAGACUAUUUUUGAUGCAGUUUUUUCAUUUACACAAUUUCAAAGAUUCUCCAAUGGAUGACCUCUUGAAGGAGGUAGUAAAGAAGAUGAUGUGAGCUAAAUCUUGACUUUGGUGUAUUAAAUUAAUACUGUAUUAGAUUAGUAGAAUAGAUUAGAUUAGUAGAAACUACAAAGGAUUUGAUGUAUAAUAUUUUAAAUGUGACUUUUAAAUAGUAUAUGUAAUUGAAGUUGUCAAGUGGCAAGAAUGAUUAUUAGUAGAAUGAAUUGAAAUUACUAGUGGUGUUUUUUUUUUCCUCUUAUA